AUUGAACGCUGGCGGCAGGCCUAACACAUGCAAGUCGAGCGAGCGGCGGACGGGUGAGUAAUGUAUGGGGACUGCCCGAUAGAGGGGGAUAACUACUGGAAACGGUAGCUAAUACCGCAUACUAUCGGAUAACCCAGAUGGGAUUAGCUAGUAGGUGAGGUAAUGGCUCACAUAGGCGACGGUCCCUAGCUGGUCUGAGAGGAUGAUCAGCCACACUGGGACUGUGGCACGGCCCAGACUCCGACGGAGGCAGCAGUGGGGAAUAUUGCGCAAUGGGCGGAAGCCUGAGGCAGCGAUGCCGCGUGUAUGAAGAAGGCCCUAGGGUUGUAAAGUACUUUCAGUCGGGAGGCGUUACCGACAGAAGGAGCACCGGCUAACUCCGUGGCAGCAGCCGCGGUAAUAC
Molecule: ribosomal RNA, 403 nt
Filed under: uncultured bacterium
Lineage: Bacteria
Description: partial 16S ribosomal RNA
Rfam family: Bacterial small subunit ribosomal RNA
Source: RNAcentral